Molecule: ribosomal RNA, 464 nt
Filed under: uncultured bacterium
Lineage: Bacteria
Description: partial 16S ribosomal RNA
Rfam family: Bacterial small subunit ribosomal RNA
Source: RNAcentral
AUUGAACGCUGGCGGCAGGCUUAACACAUGCAAGUCGAACGGAAGGAGCCUGCUUUUUCGUGGUUUCCGCGUGGGACGGGGGUGUAAAGCCUAUGAAUAUCCUUCCUUUGGGUUUGGAAUAUCUUCAGACAAGUGGUGAUACCGCAUAAGUCCUGAUCGUGCAGGUGGGUGGGGUUCGGAACUGGCGGGAGGAGAUGGACUCACGGCUGAUUAUCUAGUUGGUGGGGUAGUGGCCUACCAACGCGAUGAUCGGUAGCUGGCCUGAGAGGGUGAGCGGCCACAUUGGGACUGAGAUACGGCCCAGACUCCUACGGGAGGCAGCAGUGGGGAAUAUUGCACAGUGGGCGGAAGCCUGAGGCAGCAACGCCGCGUGCGGGAUGACGGCCUUCGGGUUGUAAACCGCUUUCGCCUGUGACGAAGCGUGAGUGACGGUAAUGGGUAAAGAAGCACCGGCUAACUACGUG